GAGUGCCUACGGGACGCAGCAGCCGCGGUAAUACGUAGGUGGCAAGCGUUAUCCGGAUUUAUUGGGUGUAAAGGGCGUGUAGGCGGGAGCGCAAGUCAGAUGUGAAAACUCAGGGCUCAACCCUGAGCCUGCAUUUGAAACUGUGUUUCUUGAGUGCUGGAGAGGCAAUCGGAAUUCCGUGUGUAGCGGUGAAAUGCGUAGAUAUACGGAGGAACACCAGUGGCGAAGGCGGAUUGCUGGACAGUAACUGACGCUGAGGCGCGAAAGCGUGGGGAGCAAACAGGAUUAGAAACCCCAGUAGUCCC
RNAcentral lists this ribosomal RNA (305 nucleotides) under uncultured bacterium. RNAcentral's name for it is "bacterial SSU rRNA". It matches the Rfam family "Bacterial small subunit ribosomal RNA", at positions 495 to 797 of the family's 1533-position model. The record is from RNAcentral.